AUUGAACGCUGGCGGCAGGCCUAACACAUGCAAGUCGAGCGGAUGAAGGGAGCUUGCUCCUGGAUUCAGCGGCGGACGGGUGAGUAAUGCCUAGGAAUCUGCCUGGUAGUGGGGGAUAACGUCCGGAAACGGGCGCUAAUACCGCAUACGUCCUGAGGGAGAAAGUGGGGGAUCUUCGGACCUCACGCUAUCAGAUGAGCCUAGGUCGGAUUAGCUAGUUGGUGGGGUAAAGGCCUACCAAGGCGACGAUCCGUAACUGGUCUGAGAGGAUGAUCAGUCACACUGGAACUGAGACACGGUACCGACUCCUACGGGAGGAAGCAGUGGGGAAUAUUGGACAAUGGGCGAAAGCCUGAUCCAGCCCUGCCGCGUGUGUGCAGAAGGUCUUCGGCUUGUAAAGUACUUUAAGUUGGGAGGAAGGGCAGUAAGUUAAUACCUUGCUGUUUUGACGUUACCAACAGAAUAAGCACCGGCUAACUUCGUG
This 484-nucleotide ribosomal RNA is filed under the name uncultured bacterium. RNAcentral describes it as "partial 16S ribosomal RNA". It matches the Rfam family "Bacterial small subunit ribosomal RNA", at positions 30 to 507 of the family's 1533-position model. The record is from RNAcentral.